AAAUCUCUUAGAACCAGGGUAGUACACAGCUAUAAUCUUGAAACCCAAAGAGUUUGGCGGUAUCUCAGCCUGGUUAGAGGAGCUUGUCCGGUAAUCGAUAAUCCGCGAAAAAUCUUACACACUGUGGUAGUCAGCUUAUAUACCGUCGUUGUCAGAUAAUAUUGAAAAAUAAAAAAUUAUCUAAAAAUAUUAAAAUAUAAUAUAUCAGAUCAAGGUGUAGCUUAUAAGUGUGAUUGGAUGAGCUACAAUUUAAUAAAAUAAAAACGAAUCUCUUCUUAAAAAAGAAGAUUGAAGGUGGAUUUAAUAGUAAUAACAGCUUUAGUAAGUUAUUAUGAUAUUAGCUCUGAGAUAUGU
Molecule: ribosomal RNA, 354 nt
Filed under: Alima sp.
Lineage: Eukaryota; Metazoa; Arthropoda; Malacostraca; Stomatopoda; Squillidae
Description: partial 12S ribosomal RNA
Source: RNAcentral